This 77-nucleotide transfer RNA is filed under the name Fidelibacterota bacterium. Its description in RNAcentral is "Candidatus Marinimicrobia bacterium tRNA-Arg". It matches the Rfam family "tRNA". From Rfam's summary of the family: Transfer RNA (tRNA) molecules are approximately 80 nucleotides in length. Their secondary structure includes four short double-helical elements and three loops (D, anti-codon, and T loops). Further hydrogen bonds mediate the characteristic L-shaped molecular structure. tRNAs have two regions of fundamental functional importance: the anti-codon, which is responsible for specific mRNA codon recognition, and the 3' end, to which the tRNAs corresponding amino acid is attached (by aminoacyl-tRNA synthetases). tRNAs cope with the degeneracy of the genetic code in two manners: having more than one tRNA (with a specific anti-codon) for a particular amino acid; and 'wobble' base-pairing, i.e. permitting non-standard base-pairing at the 3rd anti-codon position. The record is from RNAcentral. Lineage: Bacteria; Pseudomonadati; Fidelibacterota.
GCCCUCGUAGCUCAACUGGAUAGAGCGUUCGCCUCCUAAGCGAAAGGCUCCCAGUUCGAUUCUGGGCGAGGGUACGA